AGACUAAUAUCCAUACAAAUAUUUUUUACUUCAAUCUAAUGUAUAAAUUACUAAAGAUCUUAGAAAUAUCUAUUAAUCCUCAAAUUCUAAUUUUUGAGACUUCAACUCACAAAAAUCUUUAUAUACUUUGAUUUAACUAUUCAAUUGAUCUCAAAAAAUUUCCACACAUUUACAACUAGUACAUCAACACACUCUCCAAAAUUCAUCCAUACACAUACCACAAAACUCAAGAAACCUUCAAAUUUGUAAACAUAUUGUUGUUUUUCAAAAUCUAAACCACCAAGAACAUCACUAUCUUUGAAAAUCCUUCAAAAACUCAGUAUUGAAUCAAUCAACAUAAAAUUAAUACGCAAA
This 354-nucleotide long non-coding RNA is filed under the name Physcomitrium patens. RNAcentral's name for it is "long non-coding RNA (PPAT_LNC012413)". Lineage: Eukaryota; Viridiplantae; Streptophyta; Bryopsida; Funariales; Funariaceae. The record is from RNAcentral.